GACGAACGCUGGCGGCGUGCUUAACACAUGCAAGUCGAACGGAAAGGCCCUGCUUUUGUGGGGUGCUCGAGAGGCGAAGGGGUGAGUAAAACGUGAGUAACCUGCCCUUGACUUUGGGAUAACUUCAGGAAACAGGGGCUAAUACAGGAUAGGAGAUCCUGCUGCAUGGGGGGGGAUGGAAAGAUUCGGCGGUGGGGGAUGGACUCGCGGCUUAUCAGCUUGUUGGUGGGGUAGGGGCGUAACAAGGCUUUGACGGGUAGCCGGCCUGGGAGGGUGACCGGCCGCAUUGGGCCUGUGAUACGGCCCAGACUCCUACGGGAGGCAGCAGUGGCGAAUAUUGCACAAUGGGCGGACGCCUGAUGCAGCAACGCCGCGUGCGGGAUGACGGCCUUCGUGUUGUAAACCGCUUUCGCCUGUGACGAAGCGUGAGUGACGGUAAUGGGUAAAGAAGCACCGGCUAACUACGUG
Molecule: ribosomal RNA, 468 nt
Filed under: uncultured bacterium
Lineage: Bacteria
Description: partial 16S ribosomal RNA
Rfam family: Bacterial small subunit ribosomal RNA
Source: RNAcentral